Molecule: ribosomal RNA, 301 nt
Filed under: uncultured bacterium
Lineage: Bacteria
Description: partial 16S ribosomal RNA
Rfam family: Bacterial small subunit ribosomal RNA
Source: RNAcentral
CAGCAGCCGCGGUAAUACGGAGGGUGCAAGCGUUAAUCGGAAUUACUGGGCGUAAAGCGUGCGUAGGCGGUUCGUUAAGACAGAUGUGAAAUCCCCGGGCUUAACCUGGGAACUGCAUUUGUGACUGGCGAGCUAGAGUAUGGCAGAGGGGGGUAGAAUUCCACGUGUAGCAGUGAAAUGCGUAGAGAUGUGGAGGAAUACCGAUGGCGAAGGCAGCCCCCUGGGCCAAUACUGACGCUCAUGCACGAAAGCGUGGGGAGCAAACAGGAUUAGAUACCCGAGUAGUCCCUGUCUCUUAUAC